Onychostoma macrolepis is the source of this 1398-nucleotide long non-coding RNA. RefSeq lists it as uncharacterized. The record is from RefSeq and is a predicted model, not a curated record. NCBI's taxonomy places the organism in Eukaryota, Metazoa, Chordata, Actinopteri, Cypriniformes, Cyprinidae. The transcript has 3 exons.
AUUACUUGUUAGCUUUUUCAAACUAUAAUAAACUGUUGGUUGAAGAGUUUUAGUUAUUUUUCCCACGGCUUUGAAUUUUCUGGCACGUGCCACUUUGCACAACAGCCGCCUUACAAUUGGUUUAAUAAUGAUUCAGUGUGUGGUACUCCUCAAAACAUGGGGCAGCACACAAAGGAGUGUUGCACUGCACACACAUGUAUUUGGUGAGGCGCCUCUGCUUGCUCUUGCGUGAGGCAGACCUUGCAGUGUCGCCUGGUCCGGCUGCCCUGGGAAGUGGUCUGAGGUACCUCAGAUGGAAAAUGUCUGGCUGUAAGGCGCAGAGGAGUGUCCAAAGCAGGACGGCCCCCUUUGGAUGGACAUCGGGAUGUGCUGUACUCCUCCAGCAGUACCACUUAGUGGACUUUCUGGCGCACUCAAGAAAACCAGUCAUCAUGUCAGCUUUGUCAACAGCCCCCAUUUUUUUGUUGUAUUCUAGCACACACACUGGCUUCAUCUUUGGAUGCCCAGUGACGUGAUCGAGCUUCCUUGUGGCUGCCAUUCCAGUUGGGUGGACUGUGGUAAGGACAUGGCAUCGCUUUCCUGUUUGCACGCACAGUCCCACAGGCUCCAGUGCCAAGAGACAGGAGGUGUUGGAAAAGUGUGGGACUGCUGUACCAGUUGUCCACAUAAAGGACAUGACCCUUUCUGAGAUGGAAUGAACUGACGAAAUGCCAGCCUGCCUUUCCACUUCAUCAGGGGCUCAUCCACGCAGAGAUCUCUGUAUGGCACAAAGAUGCGACGGAAGGAGGUGAGAGCACUGAAUACAUUUCAGAUUUUUUUCAGAGGGUCAUUUAAAAUUUCUGUUGUGUUAUUUGUAAAGUGAAGGCAGCGGAGGAGCAUGAGAAAGCGGCCCUGCGAAAAUAAAGACCGGAAGAAUGGUGUCAAGAACAUGGGGUCUGUGCUCCAAUAAUCACGGAGUGACGUUUUUUUGACCAUCCCCAUUAGGAGAACUGAUGCCAGAAAUGUGUACAUUUCAGGGAUGCUUGUAGGAGCCCAUUUAACCAUUUUUCCUUUCAUCUCUCCUUCUUGUAUUUCUGAGGCAUAGCGGUUUGUUUCCUCAACAAUUUCUCCGACAACAUCUUCUGUGAGGAACAUUUUGAAACAGUUGACCUCACUGGGGGAUUCUGGAGGAUUUUGCACUCCACACAGUUGGUCAUCGAAAUCCCCUGGGCCUGGAGGAUUAAAAUGGUUUGUUACCUUCCAGGAUGAUGAGUUUACCCCGUCUGCCUCAGCGAAAACAUGGGCGGGUGUUGUGGAAGUCUCUUCAUCUUCAGUCCUGUCAAGAGCUUCAAGGUUUGAGGGAACCUCCUCAUCGCUGUCACUGUCUGCCUCACUGUCAAAAUCCUCAUCAGAAUUAAA